AUUUUAUGUUUAUUAUGCUCAAUAUUUAAACGUUCCAUAAAAAGAAAAUCUUUCAAAAAUUAUUUUUAUUUUUUAUAAUUAUUAGAAUAUAUUACCACAAUAGUAUGAUUUAUUUUAAAUGGUAAUAAUAGUAGAAUUUGCUAAAAAAAUAAAAAUAACCAAAUUUGCAAAUUAUUAAAUCAUUAAAAUUAAAAUAUAGGUAAUAAUUUCACAUUCUUCAAUAUUUAUAAUCAAAUAAAAUAUAUGUGAUCAAUCAAUUAUGUGUUUUAAUU
RNAcentral lists this long non-coding RNA (272 nucleotides) under Lathyrus oleraceus (garden pea). RNAcentral's name for it is "Pisum sativum (pea) long non-coding RNA (PSAT_LNC015889)". The record is from RNAcentral. Lineage: Eukaryota; Viridiplantae; Streptophyta; Magnoliopsida; Fabales; Fabaceae.